This 253-nucleotide ribosomal RNA is filed under the name uncultured bacterium. Its description in RNAcentral is "partial 16S ribosomal RNA". It matches the Rfam family "Bacterial small subunit ribosomal RNA", at positions 524 to 776 of the family's 1533-position model. The record is from RNAcentral.
UACGGAGGGUGCAAGCGUUAUCCGGAUUUACUGGGUUUAAAGGGUGCGUAGGCGGGUUGAUAAGUCAGGGGUGAAACCUCCGAGCUUAACUCGGAAACCGCCUUUGAUACUAUCAGUCUUGAAUUCAGUUGAGGUGGGCGGAAUGUGUCGUGUAGCGGUGAAAUGCUUAGAUAUGACACAGAACACCAAUUGCGAAGGCAGCUCGCUAAACUGACAUUGACGCUGAGGCACGAAAGCGUGGGGAGCAAACAGG